This 692-nucleotide ribosomal RNA is filed under the name uncultured bacterium. RNAcentral's name for it is "bacterial SSU rRNA". It matches the Rfam family "Bacterial small subunit ribosomal RNA", at positions 32 to 715 of the family's 1533-position model. The record is from RNAcentral.
AACGCUAGCUACAGGCUUAACACAUGCAAGUCGAGGGGCAGCAUAAAAGUAGCAAUACUUUGGUGGCGACCGGCGCACGGGUGAGUAACGCGUAUGCAACCUACCUAUCAGAGGGGGAUAACCCGGCGAAAGUCGGACUAAUACCGCAUAAAACAGGGGCACCGCAUGGUGCUAUUUGUUAAAAAUUUAUUGCUGAUAGAUGGGCAUGCGUUCCAUUAGGUAGUUGGAGAGGUAACGGCUCACCAAGCCUACGAUGGAUAGGGGAACUGAGAGGUUGGUCCCCCACACUGGUACUGAGACACGGACCAGACUCCUACGGGAGGCAGCAGUGAGGAAUAUUGGUCAAUGGGCGAGAGCCUGAACCAGCCAAGUCGCGUGAAGGAAGAAGGAUCUAUGGUUCGUAAACUUCUUUUGCAGGGGAAUAAAGUGCAGGACGUGUCCUGUUUUGUAUGUACCCUGAGAAUAAGGAUCGGCUAACUCCGUGCCAGCAGCCGCGGUAAUACGGAGGAUCCGAGCGUUAUCCGGAUUUAUUGGGUUUAAAGGGUGCGUAGGUGGUUUAAUAAGUCAGCGGUGAAAGUUUGCAGCUUAACUGUAAAAAUGCCGUUGAAACUGUUAGACUUGAGUGUAAAUGAGGUAGGCGGAAUGCGUGGUGUAGCGGUGAAAUGCUUAGAUAUCACGAAGAACUCCGAUUG